UCCAUAUAUCGGUCUCUUUUUCUCUCUCUCUCUCUCUGGAGGAAAGGUGGAGGCGCAGCCUCGUCGGAAGGUGGGCGGUUUGUGUGCGUCUGUAGAACCUAGACGAAGGGUGUUGUCGGAGAUUUUUUGUUUUUCGAAUGCUCCUUGCGUUUUCGACGGUCUUCUUUUCUGAUUCGUUCAACAUUAAGUUGUUAAAGGAGGGUGUCGAAUUUCUUCUUUUGUUAUUUUUUCAUAUUUCACAAGUGGUUGUGGUUUUCUGUGAUUGUAAUGUUAAAGUUGUUGCUUCAUGAGAAUGAGGAUGGUUUUUUAAUAGUGGUUUUGGUUUGAAGUUUUGAAUUUGUAAAGGUUUAAUGAUUUUUUUUUACAGGUUUAUGAAGAAUAUGAGUUUGUGAUGUGGAUUAUGUAGGUAUGUACAUGGUGAAAUUUUGUGAGGAUCGGUAUUUAUAGCCUCCAGGGUGCAAAAAAAUUGUCUAUCGAAAACCCGAACUACUUGUGACUAAAUUUGGUGCAGCAAGCCAAAUGAUGUAGAUUUUGAUUUUUUUGGGUGACAAAAUAGAUUUUUGUUAGUAAUAUUCUUUGGUAGAUUAAAAGGAUAAAUACUUUAUCCAAAAACUAAAUAAUCUGGAUGAACUUGAUAGCGUGUUUUUAUUUUUUUCAUAGGAACAUUUGACACCUUGGGAGGAAGGUAUUCUUCAAUCAUGCAAAGGUAUAGAUGUGAGGAAUUUUACUGGAAGUUCACUUAUUGGAGGUGCUGCUAUUUGGAUAGUGGCCCAACACCCUCAUUCCGUACAGGGUCUAAUUCUCAAGAAGCAGCUUCUCCUGACAAUAUUUUGUUCAUAGAGAACUUGCCUUACGAAACUACCGGUAGAAUGCUUGAAAUGCUCUUUGAACCAUACCCAGGGUUUAAGAAAGUGCGCUUGAUUGAUAAAAAGCCAGAUGAUACUCGUGUGUACAAAGAAGCACUUCAUAGUCACAUGAAUCUCUUUAACAACUGAGGCAUGUCCAACUUUUGAUUUAAAAUUAGUAUAAUCUACUGUGGAAAGUAAUUUGUUUAAUGUGUUCUCAAUUUCUUUUUCUAUCAUUUUGAUGUAAUUACUAUUGUAGUCGAUGAAACAGGCAAAGAAGCUGAAAAAUACGCUUCCAUGGGUCUUUUAAGGAGUCUUAUUAUUGCUCCAACUAGAGAACUUGCACUUCAGAGAGUAAAAAUGAACUGUAGCAUCAACUUCAUAAGCUCUUAUGGGAGUGUGUUUGGUGUGGCAUGUAUGUCAAAAAGCUUUGAGCACAUCUGCAUGCUACAUCAAAAUCAAGAGCCUGAAGGAGCUAACAUGGAGCAAAGUAGAUGAGCUGAUAAAAGGAAAGACACCGGAGGAAAUUGCUCAGAUCUUUUGAGAUGUAGAUGACUAAAUCUCCAAGUUAUUAGAACAUAACGUGCAAAAAAUUGUCUUUAGAGAUGUAGAUGUUUAGUUUACCAUUUAAUUACUUCAUUGGAUCUAAUCCAAUUAGAGUUUACAGAAUGUAUGGAAAUAAAUCCUUAUGCAUUACUUCAUUGGAUCUAAUCCAGUUAGAGUUUACAGAAUGUAUGUAAAUAAAUCCUUAUGCAAUC
Molecule: long non-coding RNA, 1603 nt
Organism: Vicia villosa (hairy vetch)
Lineage: Eukaryota; Viridiplantae; Streptophyta; Magnoliopsida; Fabales; Fabaceae
Exons: 4
Source: RefSeq, a predicted model, not a curated record